CCCUUAGAUGUUCUGGGCCGCACGCGUGCUACACUGAGUGGAUCAGCGGGUCAGGUUGCGCGAAAGUGUUUCCUAAUCUUGAAAUCCGCUCGUGAUGGGGAUUGACGGUUGCAAUUUUCCGUCAUGAACGAGGAAUACCUUGUAAGCGCGGGUCAUCAUCCCGCGCUGAAUACGUCCCUGCCCUUUGUACACACCGCCCGUCGCUACUACCGAUUGAAUGGCUUAGUGAGCCCGAGGGACUGUUGCACCUAGAGGGUUUUCUCUCCAGGAGCAGCUGGGAACUCGGUCAAACUUGAUCAUUUAGAGGAAGUAAAAGUCGUAACA
This 324-nucleotide ribosomal RNA is filed under the name uncultured eukaryote. Its description in RNAcentral is "partial 18S ribosomal RNA". It matches the Rfam family "Eukaryotic small subunit ribosomal RNA", at positions 1470 to 1796 of the family's 1831-position model. The record is from RNAcentral.